Hydractinia symbiolongicarpus is the source of this 5937-nucleotide long non-coding RNA. RefSeq lists it as uncharacterized. Lineage: Eukaryota; Metazoa; Cnidaria; Hydrozoa; Anthoathecata; Hydractiniidae. The record is from RefSeq and is a predicted model, not a curated record. The transcript is spliced from 2 exons.
AUUUAGGAGUGGUAAAAGGGCCUGCCGCCAAGGCAAACGUCUUCAGGCAUCGUAGUCCAUUGAGACUGGAAAGAUUAGACCGUUGGCCACCUAUGUGGGCGUGUGGAGCCACGUGAUUUACGUGUAGGACCUUGAAUAGGCCAAGAAAAAUCUUAUGUUACAGCCUUUGUAGGCAUGUGCCCGUAGAUUGCUGUGUUUUAAGGGCCUGACGCUAACAAAGACGACUUGGUACAUCGUAGUCCAUCAAAACUGGAAGGGCUUGACCGAUUGCCACCACUCUGGGUGCUUGGAACCGCGUUAUUUACGUAAAGGGCCUUUAUUAUGCUCGAAAAUACCAUAUUACAGGCUUUCAGGCCUGUGCGCCCAAUGUACAGAUUUCUAAGGAUUUCUAAGAAAUUGCUGCUAAGGAAAACGAGUUGGGACAUCCUAGAUCAUUGGGACUGGAGGGAAUAAACCGAUGGCUACUUGUGUGGUCGCGUGGAACUAUGUCAUUUACGUGUAGGGCCUUUGUUAUGCUGCAAAAUACCAUAUUACAGCCUUUGCAGACCUGUGGGCGCAGUUAACAGAGUUCUAAGGGCCUGGCACUAAGGCAAACGACUUUGAACAUAGUAUUAUAUAGGGACUAGAAGGACUGUAACGAUGGCAACCUGUAUAUGCGCGUGGAACUGCGUGGUUUAUGUGAAGGGCCCUUAUUAUGCUGCGAAAGACCAUAUUAGAACAUUUGCAUGUCUGAGCACGCAGUUAGACGUGUUUUAAGGACCUGGCGCUAAGGAAAACGUUGUGGCAUACCGUUGUUCAUUAAAGCUUGAAAGACAAGGUCGAUGGAAAACUCUCUGGGCGCGUGGAAUCCGAUGAUUUACGUGUAGGACCUUUAUUAGACUGCAAAAGGUGAUAAUAAAGCCGUUACAGGCUUCUGCACGCAAUUUGCCGUGUUCUUAGGGUCUGACCAGAAGAAAAAUGUCAUGGAACAUUGUAAAGCCUUAGUCAACUGUCUGGGCGGGUGAGACCAGGUGAUUUACGUGUGGGCCUUUAUCAGGCUGCAAAAGGCUAUAUUAAUAGGCACUUCAAGUCACGUGACAAUUCCCGUUGAUCAAAAUUUGCGCAAUUUCACGGGAAAUUCUGACGGGAAAUUUUCUGUGAUUGAUUUUUGUUAUCACAUUUCUAUAUAAACAUCUGGGCACCUUCGGCACCUCUAGAAGUAUAAACUUGGGCAGAUAUUGAAACUAGGCACAUACGAGUUUAUAUAACGACCUGAGCCAAUAUUGGAGAAGCAGAUAUGUUGUUGUGGGGCCGAAGAGAAGACGAAAAAAGCUGAUAUUUGAAGGAAGCAUCUAUCACUGCAACCUACUAAUAUCAUCAACUCCAUCUUUUGGCUUCAAUUACUAUAAUGACAGUGCAUCCAAUGACAACCAAUGACUGUAGCAAAUUUUGGAUCAUGUACCUUUGGUAUCAGGAGAAACCUUCAGAUAUUUCUUCAGGACAGAUAUUGCAUGUAGCCAGGUCGGUUUGUUUCAUUUUAUAUAUUAUAUCAUGUUAGGAGCCCAGAAACUGUCACUUUUUAACCACCCUAGAGCCAUUAUGGCUUUUAUACAAGUAAUGCCAACCUUGUAGCCAGGUUGCCAUUAUGAUAACUCGUUAUGUUAUGUAUAUUGUUGUUUAUGGUCAUUCACCGCAAUAGACGAUCAUGAUACGAUCCUGCUCCAACCUGUAUAUAGUAAAUUGUAUCUGCGUGAAAAUUUGGCCUCGUGUAUUCCCUUUUUAAUCUUAUAAUAGACUAUACUUAGCUAGCCAGAAAAACUUCUUUUUUCCACAUCCAAAAUAAUAUUUGCAGGCUUGUUUUCGUAAGUUAUUGGUGAAUAUAAUUGCUUUGGGGGCAAUAUUCAGGCUAUAAAUUUGGAGAAACUAUAUUCUGUAAAAAACAUGCAAAACGGUAUCUAUUACUAAUAAAAAUUUUGAUAUUUAAUCUAUUUGAAACAUUUAGUCACAUGGAAAAGGAGAAAUAUAGAGAAAUAAGCAACAACAACAAAACAAACUGCAUUGUAAAUAGGCUUUAUUUGUAUUAUUAGAUCAUAGUACACCAUAAACAACAACAGAUAAAUAAAAUAAAAAUAGCAAAAUUAUAUCAUGAUUUUGCACAAGUAAAGGCCGCUAUAUAAAAUUUGGUUUUUACGCAGCAAUAGCUAAUUAAAAACAACACAACCUACCACAACAAGUGAAUGACCACUGAUUUAGCACAACAUUCAGUCAAAAAUAUGUAGCCCUUAUUGGCUAAGACUCUAAAAUGUUGAAUCAAACUUGGAAAAACCUAGCUGUUAUGCGAUAAACACUAACUACUUAAAAUUUUUAACAAAACAAAUCAUUUAAAAACAGAUAUCGUUAACUACAUUUACACAUUUUGUGUCAAUCAGGAUAGCGCUGUAUAUGUAUAUAUGCUAAGUCAUUUUCUUUAUGUUGGUAGAACCACAAACAUUUUCCAUGCCUGUCAGCAUAACUUCUUUAGUGAAAUGUGAAAAACUUUCGUCAUUUCACCUAUUAAUUAAAACCAUGCUUUUUUCCUAAUUUUUAUAAUUAACAUCGUUCCCAGGAAUUAUCUCGAUAUAAGAUUAGAGCUUUUAAACCAAUCAUCAUCAAGUCUUGUCGAAGUCAUUCUCCCAAAACUAGUCACGACUAGUGUUCUCGUCUGUGGCCUUGUAGCAUUUUAAGAAAUCGUUUAAAAAGUGUUUAUUGCCAGGAGCUUUGAAUCUACAAAGCAAACAUACAAGUUGUUAUGCAGCUAUUCGAUUUAUUGUAUUGUUAUCAAAUGUCUUGUUACUUGUGGGUACCCCAAGACAACACAAGAACUUUGAGUUUGAGACAGGCCUUUUUAGAGUUGUUGAAAGUGAAACUAUAAACAGUUUCAUGCUCAAACUUGCUAGCACAGCAAUAGAAAGCUCAAGAAUCAAUGGAAUUAAAAGUAAACAGAUGUACCUGAAAACGUUUUCAUUAUAAAGUUAAUGCUAUAAUUUUGUUAACUCAAAAAAGUCUGUUUAUUUUGCCAAACUGCUUUCUUCUGCAAUCCCAGGCAACACAGAGCAUAAAUGUUUUCCAGUCAUGUUUCUUCUUAGCAACAUUGCUCAAUUUCAUUCCGCAAUCAUAUAUUCAAGCCUUCCAUUUACUUGCUGCAAGUCAAUACAAAACUUUCUCAGCCUUUAGACAUGUUGAAUCCUACCCUAUCCAACCGACCGGCUACCGGGAGGCAAUAACAAUAGGUAGAGUAAAUUAAUUUCAAUCUUUCUUUACUGUAAAUUUCGACGACUUCGGCGGGAUUCUUCUUGACGUCACAUAUUCUUUGUUUUACAAGAGUCCAAAAGUCCACACUUCGGCGCGAUUCUUCUUGUCGUCAAAAUUAUUUGUUUGUUUAAGAGGGUCAAAAGGCCACACUUCGGCUGCCGCCGAAGUCGACUAUUUUACGGCAGAAAACAAGGAAUCGCGCAACAAUCGGCAAAAAGCGGCAAAAUGUAGUUAAACUACCGUGAAACCAGAGAGUUGAGCCUCGUGAAACACUCCUGAGUAGUUUAGAUAAAUUUUAACUCGACUCCUGGGCGCAAGGAACCUUUUGAUCCACAUGAUCUUCUCAUCGGCAAUUUCUACCUCACUUUAAGUUGGAUUUUUUAAUUUUUUUUUUUUGCAAUAUGUGUCCAGUCUUUAGGAUCAAUUUUAUAAACAUUUCACAUAGCUGUAUUUUGAAUGCUAAUCAAAAUUGUUCGAUCAGGCUAUAUCUUUUGUGCAAUUUGGAAAUCUGGAAAUGCUUUUAUUGUCAGUGCCCUUAAUUUAGAAUGGUUGGGCAUAUAAAUACGGUUAUGCUUCCGAUUGUAUUCCCUUUAUAUUAGGCAUUUAAAUAAGUGUCAUUGUAGAGUGAUUAAGUACAGUACAGUCUGAAUGUAAUCUACCGCGUACACGCUAAUAUCACACCUUUGCGUGGAGGACGGCAGUCGUUUGUCUUUUGUUAUAAUUAAAUCCCUUGAGCGUUUUGCCAGUUUAUAUUUGCGUGGUAAAAAACAAUGCGCUCGUGAAGAAAUAUUGGAGCAAAUAAUAAAAAUCUUUCGCGAAGUUUUAUAAUACAUUGCGCGGGAAUGUAUUGUUGAUUUAAUUACUUAAAAAAAAAAAAAAAUCCAGCGCGUUUCAUCUAAGAAACAUUCGAGAAGCAUUGUUCACAACUAUUAAAUGCCGCUUUUCGUUUAAAAAAUUAUAUCGCCUCUUUUCGAUUUUAAACUUUAAAACACGAUCUAAAAAAGCAUUUCUAUCGCCGCUAUUCGUUAAAACUUUUAAAAUUUCCAGGGAGAAAUUUGAAAACUAAUGAAUGACAAAAUCCCAAAAGUUUAUCUUCAAAUUUUUAAUUUUGUUAAUGUAAAAGUAAUCCACAUGAAAAAAGUUUCUGAUGUUUUAUGAAGAAAUCUUCCAUAUUAGCCAUUAUACAUUUGCCCUAGAGUGAUUAAUAAAUAAGGUCAGGCUUCUAUUUUCAGAACUGCUAUUUACAUUUAACAUCAAGGCAUCCAAAACAGCUCCAUUUAGGAAAGGGCUAAGGCUGGCCCAUUGUUCGUUUUAUCAAAUGGGGAUUUUAUUACCCGAAUUGUAAAAGGCUAAUUUAUAGGCACUUGCAUGUAGUUUUUUUUUCAUGUCUAUUUGUUAAGCCUGUUAUGGCAUGUUGAAUUAUCUCGUCGUAGUUCUCGUCAAAAAUAUUGCCUGAUAGAUAAUGAAUUUUUAUUUGGGGAAUUGGGGGUGCUGGGCUGCCCUGGGCAGCCACAAAGUGUAGAGAUGUGCGUGUACCCCUGGAAGAGUAUGGUGAAUUAAGUACAGGUGCGAGGAGAUGAACGACGGUGCACCACGCGAGCAGGACAGAUGACUGGGGAAAUAACAGCAGAGGGAUGCGGCGCUGACAGUCAGAGGUGGUGCACCAAGAGGUUAAUAACAGGUGUGAAAUGCAAAAGAAGCUAGAGCUCAUAAAGAGUAGGUUCUUGUGAGGUAUGAUAGAGGAAAUGGAAUCACAGGAGAGGAGCUCCGGAUGUGAUUGAGAGAUUAGUUAAGCCAGAAAACACUACUAGGAGAAGAGCUCCGAAUGUAGUGGAGGAAAAGAGCGAACACUACUAGAAGAAUAGCUCCGGAUGUAGUGGAGAAGAGCGAAUUUAUUGGGAACACGCACGUGAGCUUGAGACAAUAUCUUCUCUUCAGCCUAGCAUCCUCACCCGAUUCCGCCAAAUUAUCCUCAGUUUAUUCUUGCCACUAACAAUUGAUAGUGCUAUUACUGCUAUAAAUCUAAAUUAAAGUACAAUCCUUAUUCAUUGAUUUUGUAUUAUUGACAGCAAUUGUAGUUAUUAUUUGUCAAUUUAAAGUUGUGUAUUAUCAGAUUUUGAAAGUUAGCUAAUAACAUGAUGGAUUGCAAAAUUGUCUCCUUUAAAAAAUCCAGUUUGGGGUAAAUUGGGGAUGUCGGGCUUCCUUCGUCAGCCAAAUGGGAUGAAGAUGCGUUUGUUUCCCUAACAAAUGAGGUGCGUUUCCACGAGAUACGCCAUAGCAGGUAGUAGGCAAUUUCCAAGCGAGUUGCUGAGGUGUAGGCGAUUUCCAAGUGAGUCGCGGAGAUGUAGGCAAUUUCCAAGCGAGUUGCUGAGGUGUAGACGAUUUCCAAGUGAGUCGCGGAGAGGUAGGCAAUUUCCAAGCGAGUUGCUGAGGUGUAGGCGAUUUCCAAGUGAGUCGCUCAGAUGUAGGCAAUUUCCAAGCGAGUUGCUGAGUUAGCGUUUCCACGAGAUACGCAGACGUUUCCACGAGAUACGUCUUACUAAGGGUAAGGAUGGAAACACACGCAUCUGGUUUGGGCCCCCCUGAUACCAAACCUGACAUCCCCCCCUUUCCCCAAACUCAAGUGUAGUUAUGACAUGAAACAAGAGAAAUAUACUUCUAACAUUA